AUGCGCAAGGCGAGGCCGCCGCAGCCCCAGCCGCAGCCGUCGCAGCAGUCGCCGGAGAUCCGGUACCGCGGCGUGCGGAAGCGCCCCUCGGGCCGCUACGCCGCCGAGAUCCGGGACCCCGCCAAGAAGACGCCGAUCUGGCUCGGCACCUUCGACUGCGCCGAGGACGCCGCCCGCGCCUACGACUCCGCCGCCCGAUCCCUCCGCGGGCCCACCGCCCGCACCAACUUCCCGCCCUCCUCCGCCACGCAGCCGCCGCCGAGGCCCCCUCCCCCCGCGGCCGCGGCCGCGGCCGCCACGUCCAGCCAGAGCAGCACCGUCGAGUCCUGGAGCGGCGGCGGGCCCCGCGCCCCCGCCAGGGCCCGCAGCGCCGCCCGAGCGGGCACGGCCAAGGAGGGGGAGGAGGACUGCCGCAGCUACUGCGGCUCCUCGUCCUCCGUCCUCCUCGAGGAGGGCGCGGACGACGCGGCCGCCUCCCGCUCCCCGCUGCCCUUCGAUCUGAACAUGCCGCCCCCGCAGGAGGGGGCGCUUGACGCCGAGGCCGAUCAGAUGACCUGCCGGUACGACACGCUGCUCCGCCUCUAG
This 585-nucleotide ribosomal RNA is filed under the name Triticum aestivum (bread wheat). RNAcentral's name for it is "partial small subunit ribosomal RNA". Lineage: Eukaryota; Viridiplantae; Streptophyta; Magnoliopsida; Poales; Poaceae. The record is from RNAcentral.